UCUCCGUCUGUGCAUUUUGGUUUCCUUUUCCAUUCACAAAGCCGUGGGUGGGGGAUUUCCAGCCGGGCUGCCAGCUGCUGCCGGGCCUCAGGAGGGCACCUGGGGACCCACCUCUGCGACGUGCCAGCUUCCGCCCCAGGAAGCCCCUUCUUCCACCUCUUGGGUGGAAACAUAUUGUGCCCUUGCUGAGCCAGCAACGCCAAGCACUGACAUUCCAUUUUCCAGAACGGAAAGCUGAGGCUCAGAAAGGCCAAGCUCUCAACCCAAAGUCGCCUAUCAAGGACACAAGAGCCAAGAUCUGAACCUAAACCCGCCCACCUGCCCUUCUCCCUGGCUACUUGGCUUGCAGCCCCGACUACGGGUGACAGCCUCACCCUCGUCCCAACACCCCAUUCCUCAAACAAACACAGAAGGCCCACUUAACAGAAGCUGCUCAGGUCAGGAUCUCACAGUUCCUCAGAUUGAGCCCCACGCCAGGAUCUGCGCUGAUGUGUGGAGCCUGCUUGGGAUGCUCUCUCAGAAUAAACCGACACCAACAUCAUCAUCAUCAUCAUCAUCACCACCACGAUCACUGUCACCAUGACAACCCCAGCAGCAGCUAAGCUCUGCUCAGUGACGACGCUGUGCUGGGUGCAGGGGAGCGUGGGGCAGCCGGACACCCAGUGAGCCCCUCUCAGCUCCCCACAGCCCAACCCUGGACAUGUCCGAGGAGGGGACGGUGCCACAGACGAGUGGACACGGACACCAGCCCUGAAGAGCACGGGGAGCCCCAAGGCGGCUCCUCCAGCCCACUCCCCCUGCUGGGCUAGUCCCAACAAGUGUCUCGGCCCCUCUGGGCUCAAGUCCUCUAGGUGCUCCCACUGCUCACAGUCUGGAACGCCAAGUCCUCACUGCAGCCACACGCCUGCCACCUAAUCCAGCCCCAGCACCUUCCCAACCUUCUCUCUGCUUGUUCACUCUACUCCAGACCUUGGCCAUUUGGGUGUUCCUCAAAGUCUCCGGGUUUAUGGCCACCCCAGGGGCUUUGCACUUGCCACUUCGUUGACCUGGGACUCCUGCACCCAGAUCUUCCAGGACUGGCGCCUUUUCUCACUCAAAUGUCCCCUCCUCUAAGGGGCCUUCGAUGACCACCCCCAUGUGGCGGCAGUCCUGUCUCCUUCUGCGGGCCGGUGCGUAGCAGGGAGCGCCCCCCGCAACACCUGCAAGGAUGCCACUGAAACCAGAGAAAGCUGUGACUUCUCGACGCACCUUCGGAGGCGGGAAAUAGCUGGUAUCUCUCCCAGCUACGCUCCAGCCCUCCCCGCCCCCCACAGCAGUCUGGCUGUGGCCCCCACUUACACCCCCAUGAGCAAGGAGCCCCCUCCCUCUGCAGCCCUCACCAGGCCCCUGCUUGCAGAUGAACAGACUGAGUGGGGAAGAGAUCUGCCAGGGCCACACAGCCGGGCAGAGGCAGAGGCGAAGCUGACCGGUGAGCCCCUGACAGCUGGCCUCAGCUUCUGGCUGACACGGACGACAGGUGCUGGGCUGCGGCGGCAGCGCCUUCUCCAGGCUGGCGCUGUGCCCUCCUAGUGACAGAGCCCGGGUGCGAGUCCAGGCCAAGCCCUGAGCCACCCCACCGGUUGCCAAACCUUCCCACUUCCUUCUCCUUCUGUUAGAGCUGCUCCUAGAAAAGGUUCCAGGGCCAGAGGUCAAGGCUACGCACCUGGCAGCCAUACUCAGUCAAGACUUAGAGUCUAAGGAUCCUCAGUCCAGAGACGAACUGCCCCAAGUCAUCCAGGGAACAUUCAGGAAGAGUCCCCAGACUGUUCCAAUACAACGGGAAGAUGGCGCAAGCAGAAGAUUGUCACCUGCUUUGCGGAGGGGCUGGGAGAGGCCCAGGUCCCGGGAUGACAUUCAGGUCUCAGAGCGACCACCAAGCCGAGACAGAGCCCCAAGGCCCAGCAGCCCCCAGGCCUUGACCUCACCAGGGUCCGGACACCACCCUGGGCCCUAUGGACUGUGAGGCUGGACAGGGCCUUCCAGUUGGACAUGGAGAAUCCAGGCCAGUGCUGGAAAUAAAUCUGUGUUCUCAGCCCUGAAGUCCUUCCCGUAACAACCAUAAGGGACACUGAGUGCCCCGUGGGCCAGGGGCUACUCAGUCAACUGUGCCAGAAGGCGGGAACUAUGAGUGGGGCCAUUGUACAGAGGAGGAAACUGAGGCUCGGAGAGGUGACAUCACUUGCCUAGGGCCCCUGAGCCGGUUUCCCAAGAUGGUUUAUUUUAAGCAGAUGUCUCUCAGGGGCACCUGGGUGGCUCAGUCAGCUGAGCGUCCAACUCUUGAUUUCUGCUCACGUCAUGACCUCACGGU
Long non-coding RNA from Suricata suricatta (meerkat), 2347 nucleotides. RefSeq lists it as uncharacterized. The transcript has 3 exons. NCBI's taxonomy places the organism in Eukaryota, Metazoa, Chordata, Mammalia, Carnivora, Herpestidae. The record is from RefSeq and is a predicted model, not a curated record.